Molecule: ribosomal RNA, 726 nt
Filed under: uncultured bacterium
Lineage: Bacteria
Description: bacterial SSU rRNA
Rfam family: Bacterial small subunit ribosomal RNA
Source: RNAcentral
GGUAGUCCACGCCGUAAACGAUGUCGACUUGGAGGUUGUGCCCUUGAGGCGUGGCUUCCGGAGCUAACGCGUUAAGUCGACCGCCUGGGGAGUACGGCCGCAAGGUUAAAACUCAAAUGAAUUGACGGGGGCCCGCACAAGCGGUGGAGCAUGUGGUUUAAUUCGAUGCAACGCGAAGAACCUUACCUACUCUUGACAUCCAGAGAACUUAGCAGAGAUGCUUUGGUGCCUUCGGGAACUCUGAGACAGGUGCUGCAUGGCUGUCGUCAGCUCGUGUUGUGAAAUGUUGGGUUAAGUCCCGCAACGAGCGCAACCCUUAUCCUUUGUUGCCAGCGGUUAGGCCGGGAACUCAAAGGAGACUGCCAGUGAUAAACUGGAGGAAGGUGGGGAUGACGUCAAGUCAUCAUGGCCCUUACGAGUAGGGCUACACACGUGCUACAAUGGCGCAUACAAAGAGAAGCGACCUCGCGAGAGCAAGCGGACCUCAUAAAGUGCGUCGCAGUCCGGAUUGGAGUCUGCAACUCGACUCCAUGAAGUCGGAAUCGCUAGUAAUCGUAGAUCAGAAUGCUACGGUGAAUACGUUCCCGGGCCUUGUACACACCGCCCGUCACACCAUGGGAGUGGGUUGCAAAAGAAGUAGGUAGCUUAACCUUCGGGAGGGCGCUUACCACUUUGUGAUUCAUGACUGGGGUGAAGUCGUAACAAGGUAACCGUAGGGGAACCUGC